GAUGAACGCUAGCUACAGGCUUAACACAUGCAAGUCGAGGGGCAGCAUGGUCUUAGCUUGCUAAGGCCGAUGGCGACCGGCGCACGGGUGAGUAACACGUAUCCAACCUGCCGUCUACUCUUGGACAGCCUUCUGAAAGGAAGAUUAAUACAAGAUGGCAUCAUGAGUCCGCAUGUUCACAUGAUUAAAGGUAUUCCGGUAGACGAUGGGGAUGCGUUCCAUUAGAUAGUAGGCGGGGUAACGGCCCACCUAGUCUUCGAUGGAUAGGGGUUCUGAGAGGAAGGUCCCCCACAUUGGAACUGAGACACGGUCCAAACUCCUACGGGAGGCAGCAGUGAGGAAUAUUGGUCAAUGGGCGAGAGCCUGAACCAGCCAAGUAGCGUGAAGGAUGACUGCCCUAUGGGUUGUAAACUUCUUUUAUAAAGGAAUAAAGUCGGGUAUGCAUACCCGUUUGCAUGUACUUUAUGAAUAAGGAUCGGCUAACUCCGUGCCAGCAGCCGCGGUAAUACGGAGGAUCCGAGCGUUAUCCGGAUUUAUUGGGUUUAAAGGGAGCGUAGAUGGAUGUUUAAGUCAGUUGUGAAAGUUUGCGGCUCAACCGUAAAAUUGCAGUUGAUACUGGAUAUCUUGAGUGCAGUUGAGGCAGGCGGAAUUCGUGGUGUAGCGGUGAAAUGCUUAGAUAUCACGAAGAACUCCGAUUGCGAAGGCAGCCUGCUAAGCUGCAACUGACAUUGAGGCUCGAAAGUGUGGGUAUCAAACAGGAUUAGAUACCCUGGUAGUCCACACGGUAAACGAUGAAUACUCGCUGUUUGCGAUAUACAGCAAGCGGCCAAGCGAAAGCGUUAAGUAUUCCACCUGGGGAGUACGCCGGCAACGGUGAAACUCAAAGGAAUUGACGGGGGCCCGCACAAGCGGAGGAACAUGUGGUUUAAUUCGAUGAUACGCGAGGAACCUUACCCGGGCUUAAAUUGCAGAUGAAUUAUGGUGAAAGCCGUAAGCCGCAAGGCAUCUGUGAAGGUGCUGCAUGGUUGUCGUCAGCUCGUGCCGUGAGGUGUCGGCUUAAGUGCCACAACGAGCGCAACCCUUGUUGUCAGUUACUAACAGGUUCCGCUGAGGACUCUGACAAGACUGCCAUCGUAAGAUGUGAGGAAGGUGGGGAUGACGUCAAAUCAGCACGGCCCUUACGUCCGGGGCUACACACGUGUUACAAUGGGGGGUACAGAGGGCCGCUACCACGCGAGUGGAUGCCAAUCCCAAAAACCUCUCUCAGUUCGGACUGGAGUCUGCAACCCGACUCCACGAAGCUGGAUUCGCUAGUAAUCGCGCAUCAGCCACGGCGCGGUGAAUACGUUCCCGGGCCUUGUACACACCGCCCGUCAAGCCAUGGGAGCCGGGGGUACCUGAAGUGCGUAACCGCGAGGAG
RNAcentral lists this ribosomal RNA (1420 nucleotides) under uncultured organism. RNAcentral describes it as "16S ribosomal RNA". It matches the Rfam family "Bacterial small subunit ribosomal RNA". The record is from RNAcentral.